Molecule: ribosomal RNA, 491 nt
Filed under: uncultured bacterium
Lineage: Bacteria
Description: bacterial SSU rRNA
Rfam family: Bacterial small subunit ribosomal RNA
Source: RNAcentral
GACGAACGCUGGCGGCGUGCUUAACACAUGCAAGUGGAGCGACGAACCAUUUUCGGAUGGGGCAAAGCCGCGAACGGGUGAGUAACACGUGGGUAACCUGCCUUGAUGAUUGGGACAACCCCGGGAAACCGGGGCUAAUACCAAAUGUGCUCCUUCCCUUUGAGGGGGAGGUGGAAAGGAAGCUUCGGCCUCCGCAUUGAGAUGGGCCCGCGGCGCAUUAGCUUGUUGGUGGGGUAACGGCCUACCAAGGCGACGAUGCGUAGCUGGUUUGAGAGGACGAUCAGCCCCACUGGGACUGAGACCCGGCCCAGACUCCUACGGGAGGCAGCAGUGGGGAAUUUUGCCCAAUGCCCGAAAGUGUGAUGCAGCAACGCCGCGUGCGGGAAGACGGCCUUCGGGUUGUAAACCGCUUUCAGUUGGGACGAAGGUUCACGGGUUAAUAGCUCGUUGGAUUGACGGUACCUUCACAAGAAGCCCCGGCUAACUACGUG